ACGGAGAAGCGGUCACCCCGGCUCACCGGCCCAUCUGCUUGCCCUGGCACUGCUCAGGACGGCCUCACUGCGCCCCUCGAUCCCAGCGGGCUGUGGUCUGCCCCGGGCCUUUGCACAUGCACUUCCUCCUGCCUGGACCCCACCAACACCGCACACCCCGCAGGAACCGGCUGCUCCUGCUCCUCUCUCGCGCCUCUACUCAAAGACUCAGAAGAAACCACAGAAGUGGCUGGGGGGCUGCCCCGUCCGCUCUGUCAUUGCCCUGGCACACGCGCCCUGCCGCCCCCACCCCACUGACUCCUCUGGGCUCCUCCGUGCUGCCCGCCUCCGCUUGUAGAGUGAGCCAAAGGAAGCGAAGUGGAAGGAGGGGGGCCUUGCGCCCAGGAUUUGGGCGUCUUCCUCUCACCAGCCUGCAGCCGGACCUGUGCAGCCCAGCUGAUCUUUCUCCCCGCUGGUCGUCAACACCUCUCUCUCCCUCUCUCUGGCGCUUCCUAAGAACUGCGCCCAGCCUCUCGCCUCGAGACCUCACCAGCCCUUAGUUGCCCAGGAGGCUGAAACCCAGACGGCCCAGAGGCCCAGCCGGAAGCGGAAGAGCUGAGCCCAGACACGCCUGGCAAGCGCUUGCCUGAGGCCCCAGCGGGGAGCUGCUGCCCAGAAUUAAGGCCAGCAUCAUUCUGAAGGAUAAAUGGCCUCAGAACAGGCAUCUAUCAAAGCCCACUCACUUGGGAAUGAGCAGAAGUCCCCGGCUUUGCCAUUCCUGGGGGGACUCAGGGUCCAGGCACAGGGAAAGGGGGCAUUUCAAGAGCCAAGCUGUAAAAUCAGCUCCAGUAUAUAUUUUCACGCAAGAAAGAAAGCAACUCAAAAGAUCUGCGCAAGUUGCUGCUGGGACAGUCUUCAUUUUUACAGUGGAUUCUUCCUGGCAUACCCCCCUCAUCAGUUGGGGAGCACCUGUGUCCUGGAUCAACUCGGAAGGCAAAAUGUAUCAGGUUGUAUUGGGGCAAGACAGGGUGACCCAUCUGUCUGCGUGGGACCCUCCACCCCCACUUCCACUGGCUGCCCAGACCAGCAAGACGUCCACCAAGUUCAAGUUCCCUCUUAGAAAACUAGAGAGAGCCCAAUCAAGGCUGGUAUGUUCUGGCUUCUGUCCAUCCCCAGGGUCAGGCAAAUAG
This 1169-nucleotide long non-coding RNA is filed under the name Fukomys damarensis (Damara mole-rat). RNAcentral's name for it is "lncRNA (ENSFDAG00000031247.1)". Lineage: Eukaryota; Metazoa; Chordata; Mammalia; Rodentia; Bathyergidae. The record is from RNAcentral.